RNAcentral lists this long non-coding RNA (2664 nucleotides) under Triticum aestivum (bread wheat). Its description in RNAcentral is "long non-coding RNA (TAES_LNC022395)". Lineage: Eukaryota; Viridiplantae; Streptophyta; Magnoliopsida; Poales; Poaceae. The record is from RNAcentral.
UUAAUUUUGUCACGAAUCGUCGGCGUGUUCGACGGCGUCGUUUAACGGUGCCUCCAGUCUACUGCGCUCCGUCUGAGCGGCGCCAUGAGAGCGGCUGCGCCGGCGGCUCUCCUGGCUAACGCCCGCAUAUGUGCCCUCGCAAAUCCCAUUGUAGUGGCGGCCGGGGCGCCGGUCAUCCGGCCGUUCCCCUUUGUGGUGGUACGGCAACUCCAUCAAAGCUGCAGUCUGCUCCCACGCUCGCAUCGUCGAGCGGAGUUUCCUCAUCUAGCGGCAGAUGGAAGGUGUCCUGAAGCUAGCUUGCACGGUUAGUGCUGUUCUGCGGGCUAGCAUAGCAUGGCUCCGAAUUAGUUGUUUCAUUAAUUUAUUUGGGAAUCAUGUAUUAUUUGGGAAACUGGAUCUGAAUUGCUGGGUCUAUCUAAGAAAAAAUAGAUACAGGAAGUGAGAAAAGGAUCUUUCUUCAUGUAUGCUUAUGUAACUUUAGUACUUGGUUUAAAGUAAUCUUUAGUGAGUCUGUCUCCUCGUCUGAACUACACAUGGUGAUGCAUACAUAAGCAUCUUGGUUUUCUCAAAUCAGUUGUGAGCCCUUACACCAAUAUUUUUGUUUAGAUGUAGAUGCAGAUAGAAGUACCUUGUUCACAAAUAUAAUAUUGCUGAGACAAUAAUUUUAAACAGAAAAGGCAGCCAUGUCCGCAUUACAUUUAGACAAAUAAGAAUGUUUCUUCUUGUUCUAAUCAUAGCGGCAACAAAUCAAAUAUCUAUAAUACAUCCUUGUAAAUAAUGUUUUUUGCAACGCUGCCGAAUGGAUGCUCUUCAUCCGCUGCAACAUAUAGUUGACCAUGUGUGAACAUUUACCUUUAUAAGUACAGCCCAACCUUUUUGAGAGAUUGCCCCUAACUUUUGUUCAUAGUCAUAGCAAAAUCACACUGAUAUUGGGUAUUCUCUCAGCAAUGUUAGGUCCGUUUAUGACCUGGCCUUCGAUGAUCUGCCUUCCUAACUGUGUUAUUGUUAGUCUUGUCCCAUUGCAAAGUCCCACACUUUGAUUGAUUUUUCUCAUAAGCAUUACUUGAAAAUCCAACUUUCAGCCUCAGUUCAUGUCUGGUAUUCAAGAAAAUUUAAGAGUAUUUAGAAACUCAGCUGGGAACAAAAUAUAUUCAUCUUCCACCAUAGACAUUUGUUUGCAUGUUGUAUCUGAACUAAGAUAUGUUACCUCUUCUCCAGGAAUUUGACUCAUGAUGUGGGUGUUAAUCUUGUCAACAAUCUCGUUUCUUGGGCACAUGAUUGCUCUUUCUUCUAGGUAUGUUCUAUGAGUGUACCUGCUUUGUAAGUCAGGAUAUUAGAUGCUAUUAACAAUGGAUGCUUUGGGGUUAUCUCCUUCAUGUAAAAUAAGGUCUCCUGGGAUGCUAAUUCAAUCUUCUUCAUUUGUUGUUGUUGCUGCGCCAUUGCCGAUGCUUUGCAUCCAGCUUGGAAAUUCCGCCGUAUUUGCUUUCUUUACUGGACUACCUUCGGAUGAAUUCAGACACAUAUUUUUGUGAGUCAGUACUCCUGAAAGUUCUUCAAUAGGUAGGAUCUCUUUAUAUAUGCGGAAAUAACAUGUUCCCUUGUCCCCAUUGGUAUAGCUGGUAGGAUUUGCCUGGACUCACCUCCCAAGACUAUAGUCAUUCCUCCAAAUGUUCUAUGCUCGACAUCCUCAUUUGUGAAUCGAAGUAUGUCUCUCAAACUCUUGUCAGUGCUUGUGUGUCAUAGGUGCUUCAUCCCAUAUUAUCAAUGAAGUUCUCGUUAUUAGCUCCGCAAAACAUGUUCCUAGCUUGAUGUCGCAUGUGUACUUGUUAGUGAUCUUUAGUGGAGUGUGGAAUCUUGAAUGAGAUGUGCUUCCACCCUGUAAAAGAGGUGCUGCUAUACCACUUGAAGCUACUGCUAGAAGUAUCUUUUCUUUGGACCUUAAUUUUGUCGUAGAUGCUUUCCACGGAAACGUCUUCCCUGUUCCACUAUAUCUAUCAACAAAAAUCAAUUUGUCGAGACUACAGUAAACUAAUUAUAUUAUAACAUCAAAAGCCAUCCUGUGAUAAUCAUUCUUGGACCAGUGGCCUAAACUUGUUAACCAUAUGUUUCAUUACCAUGUCGUGUAUCAUAGUGCCCUAAAACAUAAUAAUAUAGUGAGGAGAUGCAUCGAUAUAUAACUCAUAGUGGCCUAUUUAUGUUGGAAAACCAUAUUCUUUUACCAAUGAGCUGACAUUUUCAUCAAGUAGUAUCAUGUCAAGGCUAAUAAGUUCAUUGUUGUUGAGGUUAAUGCAUCACAUAGCCUAAUUACUCUGACCUUCACUUUCCAGGAUUCCUUUCCAUUGGUAAUGGCAUGGAGCAUAUCAUAUGCUAUCAUUUUUGAAGGAAAAGGAGUGACCUGUAAGCGAACACAGUUUCAUGAUUAGUACUUGUUCAGUCUCUGCCAACUCCAAGGCUUUAAUUGGAAAGAAUGAUUAGCUCAUGGUCUUCAUGUUGUUUGUAAGAAAUAAGAUGUGCAUAGCCUAAGCUCAUGGUCUUCAUGUUGUUUGUACUCCCUCCGUAAUGAAAUAUGAUAGCGUUUAGAUCACUACUUUAGUUAUCUAAAUGCUCUUAUAUUUUUUUACAGUAGGAGUAAGAAUGAAGAGGUGCAUAGCCUAAUAAUAUAAC